AUUGAACGCUGGCGGCAGGCCUAACACAUGCAAGUCGAACGAGUGGCGGACGGGUGAGUAAUGUCUGGGAAACUGCCUGAUGGAGGGGGAUAACUACUGGAAACGGUAGCUAAUACCGCAUACCAUCGGAUGUGCCCAGAUGGGAUUAGCUAGUAGGUGGGGUAAAGGCUCACCUAGGCGACGAUCCCUAGCUGGUCUGAGAGGAUGACCAGCCAAACUGGAACUGAGAAACGGCCCAGACCCCAAGGGGAGGCAGAAGUGGGGAAUAUUGCAAAAGGGGGGAAAGCCUGAGGCAGCCAUGCGGGGGGUAUGAAGAAGGCUUUCGGGUUGAAAAGUACUUUCAGCGGGGAGGCGUUACCCGCAGAAGAAGCACCGGCUACUUCCGUGCCAGCAGCCGCGGUAAUC
Molecule: ribosomal RNA, 405 nt
Filed under: uncultured bacterium
Lineage: Bacteria
Description: partial 16S ribosomal RNA
Rfam family: Bacterial small subunit ribosomal RNA
Source: RNAcentral